UCCAGAGUUUCUCCGGCAGUCCCCCAUGAGUGCUCGGCACUACCCGGUGGCAACAUAGGGCGGGGGUUGCGCUCGUUGCGGGACUUAACCCAACACCUCACGGCACGAGCUGACGACAGCCAUGCAACACCUGUCCUGGUACCCGACUUUACGGGUCGGUAACCCUUUCAGGCACCUACUUCCAGGAUGUCAAACCCAGGUAAGGUGGGGAUGAGUGUAACCGAAUCU
Molecule: unclassified non-coding RNA, 228 nt
Filed under: uncultured bacterium
Lineage: Bacteria
Description: contains 16S-23S intergenic spacer region
Source: RNAcentral